RNAcentral lists this long non-coding RNA (486 nucleotides) under Salvia miltiorrhiza (redroot sage). RNAcentral describes it as "long non-coding RNA (SMIL_LNC000789)". The record is from RNAcentral. Lineage: Eukaryota; Viridiplantae; Streptophyta; Magnoliopsida; Lamiales; Lamiaceae.
AAAUUAUUUUUCCUUUUCCCUUAUUUUUAUCUUGUUGAAUUGUACGUGGUCCCUUCACUUGGCCAGAAAUCGGUUCUAGAAAAUAAAAAAUAAAUAAAAUGUUAUCAACAAAAAUGGGUAUACAAACAUAUUUCACAAGUCAUUCCAAUCAACAAAUAAUAUAGGUUUCUAUAGAUUUUCCUGACACCAACUAAAAUAAUAUAAAAAAAUAUGAAUUGUACAAAUACUCUUUCAACUAUUUACCUCGAAUAACUAUACCAGGAAGUGAAAUUCUCUUUUGCUUCUUUUUGACAGGGGAAUCACCUGUUUCCUCAGCAUAACCUACUUUAAGUUCAUACUUAAACAUUCAAUUGAUUCCAAAAUAUCAUAUAAAAACCUAUUGAUAACAAAAUACAUAAAUGGCUACUGUUACCUUUCUGAUUCUUUUUCUUUUUGGAUUGAGCAGCCAUUCUUAGUACCUUAACUCAAAACAUGAAAUAAAAAUAU